This 338-nucleotide ribosomal RNA is filed under the name uncultured Prevotella sp. RNAcentral's name for it is "bacterial SSU rRNA". It matches the Rfam family "Bacterial small subunit ribosomal RNA", at positions 8 to 338 of the family's 1533-position model. Lineage: Bacteria; Pseudomonadati; Bacteroidota; Bacteroidia; Bacteroidales; Prevotellaceae. The record is from RNAcentral.
AGAGUUUGAUCAUGGCUCAGGAUGAACGCUAGCUACAGGCUUAACGCAUGCAAGUCGAGGGGCAGCAUAAUCGAAGCUUGCUUUGAUUGAUGGCGACCGGCGCACGGGUGAGUAACGCGUAUCCAACCUUCCCCUUAGUAGGGCAUAGCCCGGCGAAAGUCGGAUUAAUACCCUAUGUUGUCCUAUGAGGACAUCUGAGCAGGACUAAAGGUUUACCGCUAAGGGAUGGGGAUGCGUCUGAUUAGCUUGUUGGCGGGGUAACGGCCCACCAAGGCAACGAUCAGUAGGGGUUCUGAGAGGAAGGUCCCCCACAUUGGUACUGAGCCAGGAUCAAACUC